AGGAAAAAGCAAAUAGUAGUACAUCCGCCAUCAGCCAGAACAACAACUACAAAAGAUAUUUCAGUUUACGGGAUCCCCUAUUCUACACCUCCAUGAAAGUAUGCAAGAUAUAUCUAUGUCAGCACCUACCAUAUCCCAACUGGAUCAAA
Nematostella vectensis (starlet sea anemone) is the source of this 149-nucleotide long non-coding RNA. RefSeq lists it as uncharacterized. The transcript has 2 exons. The record is from RefSeq and is a predicted model, not a curated record. Lineage: Eukaryota; Metazoa; Cnidaria; Anthozoa; Actiniaria; Edwardsiidae.